RNAcentral lists this ribosomal RNA (429 nucleotides) under Actinomycetes bacterium. Its description in RNAcentral is "Actinobacteria bacterium partial 16S ribosomal RNA". It matches the Rfam family "Bacterial small subunit ribosomal RNA", at positions 355 to 776 of the family's 1533-position model. Lineage: Bacteria; Bacillati; Actinomycetota; Actinomycetes. The record is from RNAcentral.
UAGGGAAUCUUCCGCAAUGGGCGAAAGCCUGACGGAGCAACGCCGCGUGAGUGAUGAAGGUCUUCGGAUCGUAAAACUCUGUUAUUAGGGAAGAACAAAUGUGUAAGUAACUAUGCACGUCUUGACGGUACCUAAUCAGAAAGCCACGGCUAACUACGUGCCAGCAGCCGCGGUACUACGUAGGUGGCAAGCGUUAUCCGGAAUUAUUGGGCGUAAAGCGCGCGUAGGCGGUUUUUUAAGUCUGAUGUGAAAGCCCACGGCUCAACCGUGGAGGGUCAUUGGAAACUGGAAAACUUGAGUGCAGAAGAGGAAAGUGGAAUUCCAUGUGUAGCGGUGAAAUGCGCAGAGAUAUGGAGGAACACCAGUGGCGAAGGCGACUUUCUGGUCUGUAACUGACGCUGAUGUGCGAAAGCGUGGGGAUCAAACAGG